GGCAUCGUGGCCGAGCGGCUAGGCACCGGUCUGCAAAACCGACUACUCCGGUUCGAACCCGGACGAUGCCU
This 71-nucleotide transfer RNA is filed under the name Flavobacterium sp. RNAcentral describes it as "tRNA-Cys". It matches the Rfam family "tRNA". Rfam says of the family: Transfer RNA (tRNA) molecules are approximately 80 nucleotides in length. Their secondary structure includes four short double-helical elements and three loops (D, anti-codon, and T loops). Lineage: Bacteria; Pseudomonadati; Bacteroidota; Flavobacteriia; Flavobacteriales; Flavobacteriaceae. RNAcentral also lists the same sequence under 3 other names. The record is from RNAcentral.